Molecule: non-coding RNA, 177 nt
Filed under: Exilibacterium tricleocarpae
Lineage: Bacteria; Pseudomonadati; Pseudomonadota; Gammaproteobacteria; Cellvibrionales; Cellvibrionaceae
Description: 6S / SsrS RNA
Rfam family: 6S / SsrS RNA
About the family: E. coli 6S RNA was the first non coding RNA to be sequenced, but its function was unknown until recently. It consists of 184 nucleotides that fold into an extended hairpin structure with a large single-stranded internal bulge.
Source: Rfam by way of RNAcentral
GCCGCCCUGGGUUGUUUGCCAGUUAACGAGUCCUCGAGCCGAUAUUUUUAUCCCGGGGGUUCCUUGCUGAUGUUGGUGUGCAGGUCCGCGCGACGGAAAGCCUUAUACAUCACUUGGGCCACCACCUUGAACCAUCGGGUUCAAGGCCAAGUUAACAGCGGCAAUUGCGGGGCUACU